CCUACGGGUGGCAGCAGUGGGGAAUAUUGGACAAUGGGGGCAACCCUGAUCCAGCCAUGCCGCGUGUGUGAAGAAGGCCCUCGGGUUGUAAAGCACUUUUAGUGAGGAAGAACGCCUGGUGGUUAAUACCCAUCUGGAAAGACAUCACUCACAGAAGAAGCACCGGCUAACUCCGUGCCAGCAGCCGCGGUAAUACGGAGGGUGCGAGCGUUAAUCGGAAUUACUGGGCGUAAAGCGCGCGUAGGUGGCUUGAUAAGCCGGUUGUGAAAGCCCCGGGCUCAACCUGGGACCGGCAUCCGGAACUGUCAAGCUAGAGUGCAGGAGAGGAAGGUAGAAUUCCCGGUGUAGCGGUGAAAUGCGUAGAGAUCGGGAGGAAUACCAGUGGCGAAGGCGGCCUUCUGGACUGACACUGACGCUGAGGUGCGAAAGCGUGGGUAGCAAACAGGAUUAGAUACCCUUGUAGUC
Molecule: ribosomal RNA, 465 nt
Filed under: Vreelandella stevensii
Lineage: Bacteria; Pseudomonadati; Pseudomonadota; Gammaproteobacteria; Oceanospirillales; Halomonadaceae
Description: partial 16S ribosomal RNA
Rfam family: Bacterial small subunit ribosomal RNA
Source: RNAcentral